Molecule: ribosomal RNA, 972 nt
Filed under: human gut metagenome
Description: bacterial LSU rRNA
Rfam family: Bacterial large subunit ribosomal RNA
Source: RNAcentral
AAGGUAGCGAAAUUCCUUGUCGGGUAAGUUCCGACCUGCACGAAUGGCGUAACGAUCUCCACACUGUCUCGGCCAGAGACUCGGUGAAAUUGCAGUCGCGGUGAAAAUUCCGUGUACCCGCAGAAAGACGGAAAGACCCUGUGCACCUUUACUAUAGCUUGACAUUGGAUUUUGGGCCUGCAUGUGUAGGAUAGGUGGGAGGCUGUGAACCCUGUACGCCAGUAUGGGGGGAGCCAUCCUUGAAAUACCACCCUUGCAUGUUUAAGAUCCUAACUUCUUCCGGUUAUCCCGGAGAAAGACAGUGUCUGGCGGGUAGUUUGACUGGGGCGGUCGCCUCCUAAAGUGUAACGGAGGCAUGCAAAGGUUCCCUCAGCCUGAUCGGAAACCAGGCGCUGAGUGCAAACGCAUAAGGGAGCUUGACUGUAAGAGAGACAUCUCGAACAGGAACGAAAGUUGGCGUUAGUGAUCCGGUGGUCCCGAAUGGAAGGGCCAUCGCUCAUUGGAUAAAAGGUACGCCGGGGAUAACAGGCUGAUCGCAUCCAAGAGUUCACAUCGACGAUGCGGUUUGGCACCUCGAUGUCGGCUCAUCACAUCCUGGGGCUGAAGCAGGUCCCAAGGGUACGGCUGUUCGCCGUUUAAAGUGGUACGCGAGCUGGGUUUAAAACGUCGUGAGACAGUUUGGUCCCUAUCUUCUGUGGGCGAAGGAGAAUUGAGAGGGCCUGUCCCUAGUACGAGAGGACCGGGAUGGACGCACCCCUGGUGAUCCUGUUGUCGCGCCAGCGGCAUAGCAGGGUAGCUAUGUGCGGAAGGGAUAACCGCUGAAAGCAUCUAAGCGGGAAGCCUGCCUCAAGAUAAGUUCUCCCCUCGAAAGAGCUGAAGGGCCCGGGUAGACUACCCGGUCGAUAGGCUGGAGGUGUAAGCGCGGCGACGUGCUCAGCUGACCAGUACUAAUAGCCCGAGUGGCUUAUUUUU